RNAcentral lists this ribosomal RNA (256 nucleotides) under uncultured bacterium. RNAcentral's name for it is "partial 16S ribosomal RNA". It matches the Rfam family "Bacterial small subunit ribosomal RNA", at positions 524 to 777 of the family's 1533-position model. The record is from RNAcentral.
UACGUAGGCAGCAAGCGUUGUUCGGAAUUACUGGGCGUAAAGAGUGUGUAGGCGGUGCUGUAAGUUUGGUGUGAAAUCUCCCGGCUCAACUGGGAGGGUGCGCCGAAUACUGAAUGACUAGAGUGCGGGAGAGGUGAGUGGAAUUCCUGGUGUAGCGGUGAAAUGCGUAGAUAUCAGGAGGAACACCGGUGGUGUAGACGGCUCACUGGACCGUAACUGACGCUGGAGAACACGAAAGCGUGGGUAGCAAACAGGA